ACACGAAGCCAAAACCUAACCCUAAUCCUUCAAAUUUUGGUGGAUAGAUAUCAGAGAGGGAAAACCAAGAAGCAAAUCAAUUUGGUUGAUAAUUGGUGGAGAAAUGUCAGAGAGGGAAAACCAAGAAGCAAAUCAAUUUGGGGAGAGAUGGUUUGACUCACAAUAUGCUGAAUGAUAUUCAUAACCAUUGGAAACAUGAAGAAACAGUGAGGAUAAAAUGUCAAGGUGUUCCAACUGUUGACAUGAGAAAUGUUU
Molecule: long non-coding RNA, 255 nt
Organism: Rosa chinensis
Lineage: Eukaryota; Viridiplantae; Streptophyta; Magnoliopsida; Rosales; Rosaceae
Exons: 3
Source: RefSeq, a predicted model, not a curated record